This 374-nucleotide unclassified non-coding RNA is filed under the name soil metagenome. RNAcentral's name for it is "partial contains internal transcribed spacer 2 and large subunit ribosomal RNA". The stretch from base 1 to 120 matches the Rfam family "5.8S ribosomal RNA", at positions 35 to 154 of the family's 154-position model. The record is from RNAcentral.
GAUGAAGAACGUAGUGAAAUGCGAUAAUUAAUGCGAAUUGCAGAAUUCCGUGAAUCAUCGAGUCUUUGAACGCACAUUGCGCCUCAUGGCAUUCCGUGAGGCAGGCCCAUCUCAGCGUUAGAAAAUAUUCUCAAAUUUUAGUUUUGUGCUAAAAUUUGGAUCAUGUCAAAGAAGCUAUUACUAUUAUUGUGAUCGCUCUUUGGAAAUUGAUAGGUCUUUGAGUUGCUACUCAUAGAACGUGAUGAAUCUUUCUUCGUUCUAUUGUAAUUCACUCUGGUAGUCCUAAAACUUGUAUGCCUGUGGCAUAUCUUGUAAUUUGACCUGAGAUUGGGUAGGGAUACCCGCUGAACUUAAGCAUAUCAAUAAGCGGAGGA